This 573-nucleotide ribosomal RNA is filed under the name uncultured bacterium. RNAcentral's name for it is "bacterial SSU rRNA". It matches the Rfam family "Bacterial small subunit ribosomal RNA", at positions 100 to 694 of the family's 1533-position model. The record is from RNAcentral.
CCGGGUGCGUAACACGUAGCUGACCUGCCCCUCAGCGGGGGACAACGCCGGGAAACUGGCGCUAAUACCGCAUAGUUUGACGCUAGUUAGAGAAGCGUCAAUAAACUUCCGGGGCUGAGGGAGGGGGCUGCGGCCCAUCAGGUAGUUGGUGAGGUAACGGCUCACCAAGCCGACGACGGGUAGGGGGCCUGAGAGGGUGGUCCCCCACACUGGGACUGACAACGGCCCAGACUCCUACGGGAGGCAGCAGUAAGGGAUAUUGCGCAAUGGGCGAAAGCCUGACGCAGCAACGCCGCGUGGAGGAAGAAGGCCUUCGGGUCGUAAACUCCUUUUGACGCUGACGGGGAAGGACGGUAGGCGUCGAAUCAGUCACGGCUAACUACGUGCCAGCAGCCGCGGUAAAACGUAGGUGGCGAGCGUUAUCCGGAUUUACUGGGCGUAAAGCGUGUGCAGGCGGGGUGACAAGUGGUGUAUGAAAUAUCCCGGCUUAACCGGGAAGGGUUAUGCCAGACUGUCAUUCUAGAGUGCGAGAGAGGGGCGUGGAAUUCCGGGUGUAGUGGUGAAAUGCGUAGA